RNAcentral lists this long non-coding RNA (32359 nucleotides) under Malus domestica (apple). RNAcentral's name for it is "long non-coding RNA (MDOM_LNC015757)". The record is from RNAcentral. Lineage: Eukaryota; Viridiplantae; Streptophyta; Magnoliopsida; Rosales; Rosaceae.
CCUCGUUUACCAAAAAGAAAAAGCAAAGAGAAAACAAAAGAUUCGUCCUUCUUCUUCAGCUGCUCUGGUAGCAUCUCCCACCUCCUCUUCUUCAUCAACUAUUAAGACCGACUCCCAUUCAGAUCCUUGAAAAUUUGGGCAUGGAACUAUAGUUAUCUACUUAAGGUUGCGAGUGAGCAAAAUUUGAUUUGUGAAAUCGUCCAUUUCAAAGUGUCUUUUUGAAGAAACUAGUUGGGACUUUCAUCCAACAGCUUGCCGGCAGAAAGAAAAUUCGCAGCUUUCGGUAUCUUACAAUACACAACUCUGGUGUGUGCGAGGUACCUUCAAGCUCCCCUCUUGUGAAAACAUACAUCUGCUUUAGCUUUCAAUUGAAAUCUUCAUGGCCGAUGAGUCAAAUGCAUUGACUUUGGAUCCUCUUGCUUUCUUAUCUUUAUUUUUCUUUUUAAUAUUUUCCUAUUAAAACUAAGAUCUAAAGUCUUUAAAUUCAUGGAAAUUAUUUUGUAAGACUUCAAUAUUUUUUUUUUUUUUUCAGAAACGUGAACUAAAUCCAUUUCAUGAAGAAAGAUCUAGUCCUUUUCGUUUUUUUCUUCUUAAAAUAAAUAUGAGUCAUUAUUAUUAAUAAUUAAUUUUUUUUAAAUUGGUAGAAUAUAUUUUUGCAUAAAGUUUUAAUAAGAAUUUCUUUUAGGAUUACACAUAAUGUGUCGUUAGCUUUUUACAUACCAAAUUUAUGAUAAUAUUUAUGUACGGAUAGUUUUCUAUGUAUUUAAAUAAUAAUUACAUAACAUACCAAAACAAAUUUGUACACAAAUUUGAAUUACAUAGCAUGCCAAUAACGUACCAAAUUAUUGACACGUUACAUUUAGUAAAUAAAAGCAUUGAUAUAUAUAUAUAUAUAUAUAUAUGUAAUAUCGUUUAGAAUUUUAAAGUACGUUGGUACUUUUAAAAUAUCACGUUUGAUUUUUUUUUGUUUUUUGCAACCACAGUUUAACUUUAUUUUAUUUUAUAAACAAUUCAACUUUUAUUGUUUUUAUAGAACUUUUAUUGUUUUUUAUUCUUUUAAAAUAUAUUGAAAUAAAAAGAUAUAAAUUAACAAUAUAUUGAAAAAAAAUUAGAUAUUUGGUCUAAGAAAUUAAAAAACCGCGCAUCUAGAUCAAAAAGAUAUAAAUUAACAUUAUUUGUUUGUUUUUUAUUCUUACUAGACAACAAUUUAUCUUUUUUUUUGGCCUUCUGAGUGCUACUCGAGACUCCAACUUAUUAGAUUUUCCAUCAAUUUUUGAGAUCCCAAAUGGCGAGCCAAUGUUUCAACGCGUAUUCUAUUCACAUUUUACAACUAAUAAGAAUUUGCCUUGUGACUUGGUAACCAAUAACUGGUGUCUCUUGUACUAUUAUUAUGUUUAUCAUAUGAUUCAUAUGAUGCAUCUCAGUGUAAAAUCCGAUAUGUUUGGUAGCUGGAGAAUAUAUUCUCAAUUUGCAUUCCAAUUUGUAUAUAAUAACUCUUCUUCAUGCAUUCACUGCUACAGAUAGACUCUAUUCAAUAGAUGCAAUGAGCACCGAGCAGCAGAAUCCUUCUUCGUCUUCUAACCGGUGCACAUAUGAUGCAUUCUUGAGUUUCAGAGGCGCAGAUACACGCAAGGGCUUUACAGAUCACCUCUACAAUGCUUUGAAGUUAGCAGGAAUCCACACUUUUAGGGAUGAUGAUGAAAUUGAGAGAGGAGAAAACAUUGCACAGGAGCUACAGACAGCAAUACAAGAGUCACAAGUAUCAAUCAUUGUUUUCUCCAAGGACUACGCCUCUUCCACGUGGUGCCUGAAUGAACUUGCUAUCAUCAUGGAACGUAAAAGAACAGAUGGACACAUGGUUAUCCCAGUUUUCUAUUAUGUGGAACCAUCAGAUGUCAGGAAGCAGACGGGCAGUUUUGCAGAAUCAUUUACUAGACAUCAAGAACAAUUCAAGGACGAGAUAGACAAGGUGGAGGAGUGGAGGCGAGCUCUUAGAGAUGUUGCAGACUUGGGAGGGAUGGUUUUAAAAGACCGGUAAUUUUUCAUUCUCUCCUAUAUUCAGUCAAGUAGAUCAGAUGCUAGUCUCAAGCUUGUGAAAAUUUUAGUUUUUUUUUUUUUGAAAAAAUAAAUAAAUAACUUGCUUGUGUCUUUUCUUUUGGUCUGAAAAUAAAGAAAUUACUGUGCCUCAUAUAUUUUGAUAUCAAUAACAUAUAGGUAUGAGUGGCAGUUUAUCCAAGAAAUUGUUGAAGUGAUUGGAAAUGAACUGGACUACAUGACGAAUAGGAGAUUAAGAGUUGAUCCCCAUGUGAUUGGACGAGGUUACUAUGUGGAAAGCCUAAACAUGUGGCUGGAAGAUGGAUCAAAUGAUGUUGGAGUAGCUGUCAUCCAUGGAAUGGGUGGAAUAGGCAAGACCACCAUUGCUAAAAUUGCUUAUAACCAGAACUUCAAUAAAUUUCAAGCUAGCAGCUUUCUUUCAGAUAUUAGGGAAACUUCCAAACAAGCCAAUGGUUUUGUUCACUUGCAAAUGAAGCUUCUUUCAGAUAUCCAAAGGGGGAAAAUGGAAAAAAUAUACAGCCUUGAUGAAGGUAUAGUAAAGAUCAAACGGGUUGUACGUUGCAAAAGAGUUCUUAUUGUUCUUGAUGAUGUGGAGAACUUGGAACAGUUCACUGCAAUUCUUGGAAUGCGAGACUGGUUCCAUCCUGGAAGUAAAAUUAUCAUAACAACUAGACAUGAGUUAAAGGCUCAUGAAGUUUGUGUAAGGUUUAAGGUUGAAGGAUUACAUGCGCAUCAAUCUCUUACACUUUUCAGUUGGCAUGCCUUCGGACAAUCCCAUCCUCAGGAAGGUUACAUGGAGCAUUCAAGACACCUAGUAAAAUGUUGUGGAGGGGUUCCAUUAGCUCUUCAAGUUCUGGGAUCUUCUCUAUUUGGAAAAACAGCAAAUGUAUGGGAAAAUGUAGUACGCAAGUUAAAGGAAAAUGCAGUACCCACCUUAGACGUGAUUACUGAGGGAAAAAUUCAAAAGAUUCUUUGCAUAAGUUUUGAUUCUUUACAAGAUCAUGAUAAAUGUUUAUUCCUCCAUAUAGCCUGUUUCUUCAUAGGAAAAGACAAGGAUUUUGCAACUACAAUCCUUGAUGAAUGUGAUUUUGCGACAGAAGUUGGACUUCAACACCUAGUUGAUAGAUGCCUUGUGGAAAUUAAUGCCCGCAACAAGUUAACCAUGCAUCAAUUGCUUGAAAACAUGGGAAGGGCAAUAAUUCACAAUGAAUCACCUGAGGACCCUGGAAAACGCACUAGACUGUGGCAUAAAAAAGAAGCAAGUGACGUUUUGAGAAAUUUAACGGUAAGAAACAUGAUCUUUAACUGUAUUUAUUUGCAUUGGUGUUCUACAUGUGACUAGUAACUUAUCCAAUGCUCUUAUUUGGUGGCAGGGUAAGAGAAGUAUUAAGGGCCUCAUGCUCCACUGUCCCUCAACAUUUGAAACAAAGGCAUUUACAAAGAUGCUCAAUCUUGAACUACUUCUGCUUGAUAAUGUAAAGUUGAGUGGAAGCUAUGAAGAUUUUCCAAAAAAAUUGAUAUGGCUGUCUUGGCGAGGAUUCUCUUUAAAAUCAAUACCAGCCAAUUUUUGUAUGGAAAAUCUAGUUGUUCUCGACUUACGGAAGAGCAGUCUGCAACAUGUUUGGAACGGAACCAAGGUAUCUUCUAAUCUCUCUCGCUCUCUCUCUCUCUCAAUACACACAACAAAAAUAAAUUUCAGUGAAAGUAAACUGUGUAUUCAUAGCAACUAAUGACUUCUACUUGAUACAGAAUCUUACAAGAUUGAAAAUUCUUAAUCUCAGUCAUUCACAUGGCCUUAGGACAACAUCUGACUUGUCCGGACUCCCUAACCUUGAGAAACUAAUUCUCAAGGAUUGCAUUAAUUUGGUUGAUGUUGAUGAAUCCAUUGGAAACUUGGGGAAACUUGUUUUCUUGAAUCUAAAAGACUGCAAAAGUCUUAUGAAGCUUCCAAAAAGAAUGAAAAUGUUGAGGUCUCUUGAGGAACUUAUUCUUACUGGUUGCUCAAAGCUUGGUCCUCAUGACAGUGCCACGGUUAUUGAUUUACUCGCUACAUCUAGGGAUAUGAAUAAACUUAGACUGUUAUCAACUAUAUCAUGGACACCUAUCAGGUAUUGGUGGAUGUGGGCAUGGCCGAGAAAGACUCUUCAAUCAACCAGUUUCUCACUGGCAAGUUUGCCACGUUGUUUGGGAAGCUUAAGUCUGUCUUACUGCAACGUGUCAGAGGUUCCCAAUGAUCUGUGUACACUAUCUUUGUUGAAGCAUUUGAAUCUAACUGGUAACCCAAUUUUGCCUACCACAAAAAAUGAAGAGUCUUAUUAUGCUCGAGACUCUUUUGUUAGAUAAUUGCACAAACCUCGAAAUUCUUCCAGAGCUCCCACCAAGGUUGAAGAGGUUAGAAGCAAAGUAUUGUACUUCAUUGAAAAGAUUAACAAAUUUACCAAACUUGUUCAGAUCAUUGGAAUCACUUUUUUGGGGUUGUGAGCAUUUAGUUGAAGUUGAAAGCUUGUUGAAUAUAAAACCGGUGAGAAGCGCUGACAUAGAAAUGACAAGAUAUAUGGGCCUGUUCAAUUUGAAAUCCAUAGCAAGCACUGAUGUCGAAAUGAUGAACUACUUGACCGGUACAAGCAGGAAGGCUCCUGUCCAGGUCUUUCUCUGUCUCCUCUCUCAUGUAUAGUUGUUCUAAUUAUUAUAUCUAUGAACUAAUUUGGCCCAACUGUUUGAAUAGUUAAAUUUGAAUUGUAGAUUCUUGAUGAAACAGGUACUCUAUGAAUGUGGCAUAUAUAGCAUUUUCUUUCAUGGAAGCAAGAUUCCAGAUGGAUUUGGCUUCACAAUAAUAUAUAGAUCUGUGCUGUCAGUUAUUGUACCUUCACAUCCCUUUCUAAAAAUCCGAGGCUUGAAUUCAUGUGUGUUAUAUGCAAGAGAACCAGGCUUGGAAUAUCGUCUUACUGUUCAGCAUUUGAUUAAAGUCAGUAAUCAGACCAAGGGUCUUAUGUGGACCUAUUCCCCACUCACAGUAGGUUUGCCUACUGAGAAGGAAGAUAUGUUAUGGCUAAGCCAUUUUCGAUUUGCAAACAACGAAUUGGAGUAUGGGGACGAAUUACGUGUUUCGGUUGAGAUGCAUGAAUUUGUCCGUGUAAAGGAAUUCGGAAUUCAGCUUGUGUACGAGCCGGAAAGACCUCCUUCUAGCCAGAAUAAUGUUGUUGCUGGAGAUGUGUCACUGUCAGCAUCAGAGUACCAAAUGUGGACAGGAAAAUACUUUCUCAGUAAUCAUGGGCACUGUACUCAUCAAGCUCAAUUCCGAAGGAGACAGGAGAAUCCAGCACAUAUUGAGUUUUCAUUUGGGCCAGAGCUUCUAUUUCAUAAAUUAUUCAAGGCCCGAGGACCAUUCGAAACUGUUGUGAAACUUAGAGCAUAUCCAGCAGAUUCCCCAUCUGCUUCUCCUUACCCAUUUUGGCUAAAAUAAAGAGAAACCUCCUCAGUUCUUUAUCCAGCAUCAUUCAUUUAUGGUUGGAAAGAAACAUCAGCAUCAGUUUUCUUGGUGAGUAUCGUCCCUUUAUUCUUUCUUGUUAUCUCUUUCUGAAUAUAUACUCAUGGCUUUGUUGGAUUUGUUGCUCUUUGCUUAUUGUCUUUGAUUUGUUAAUUGAAUGAAUAUAUUAAACAAAAAGCGGGGAAAGCUCUAUGAACUCAGAACAACAAGGUCAUAAGACCAAUCAAGGAAACAAAACCGGAACAGUCCUCAUGAGUUAGCAGAUGAGGUUUGAAAACCCCUAUAGAGCAAAACCAACUUCAGCGUAACAGCAGUGGGACAACAUGUAUUUCUGAAAAUCCUGCAAUUAGUUUCCCUCCAAAGCCUACUCCUUACAAACGAAUCUUGAAUUCCUGCGACGUGGUAUUUGGGGUAACUUCUAUUUGGACACAUUUAUAUGAGCAAACUUUUCUUAUUCUAUUAUUAUGCAUUCGGAUUAGAAAGCGCGCGAUCAAUAAGAUAUUGAAAACAUGUAUUUCCUGAUACAUUAUAUAAAAUUAAUAAUUCGCUAAAUUCAUAAGAUAAUACAUUAUAUAAAAUUCAUAUAGAUUCCACAUAAUAUGUAAAUUAAUAAUUUCCUGAUACAUGUGCUUAUGAUUCGACAAUGAGGCCUUCCUAAAAUAUGACUCAAUCAUUGUUUGUUUUUUCUUUUCUUGAAAUUGAUACCUUGGAUCUUAUAUUUUUCUUAACAUGAUAAGAAGUUAUAAUGUGGUUUUUUCAUACUUCAACAAAAAAUUAUUCAAUGUCAUCGCCGCUUUGAGAACUUCUUUUCGGGAAACGGGCUCCAUAGUAGAACCAUGUACAAUCUAUUUUUAGAAAAUAAGUAGAUUCAAAAUUUUACUUGGUUAAACAAUAAAAUCGUUAGUUCGUAAAAUGAGAAACUAAAUUAAUAACAUAUUAAUUUAUCAAUUAUUUAAUAUUUUGCUAAAAAAUUUGGUCUCAAGGUUAUUAAUUUAUAGAGGUCUAAUGGAUUUAGAUAGAGGACACUAGGUAGGUUUCCCUUUAAAGAGUCUGAUAUGGUUGCCUUAAGUCUCACUUGCAUUUACUACGGUAUCCCCAAUCAAUCAUGCACUACCAUGCUUGGAUAAACUAUAGUAAUGUCCUUGCAUGGCAUGCAUGAUUGACUCGAGAUACCGUCAUAAUGUCAUCUUUGUUGUAGGUAAGUUUUUCUCCCCGAAAUAUAUGUUCACCAAGGAAUUUACAUGUGAAAUGAAACUCUAAGAAAAGAAAUUUAAAAAUGAGAAAGUGAUCCACCUAAUCAUGUGUGUCGGUAUGUAAUUGGGCCACGCAAGGAUCAAUGAACAAAAAAUUUAAAUGUCACAAUACAAGCUAUAGUAAUUUGUUAACUGCAUUUGAUUUCAUAUUGUUUUAAGUUACGAGCAGUGAAGACAGGGAAUAAAAAUGGAAUGAUAAUCUUUGUUAGAUCAUAUUCUAAAACAAAUUUCCAACACUCUGAAUCUUGCAGCUUUUGAGCUGCUCUGUGUUUGAGCAAUUAGUAGAGACAAAAUUGGAAGAGAUCAUCCUGUAAUAUCUAGUUAAACAAAUCAAGGGAAAACAAUUUUACGCCGCCCUUACCUAGUUUACAAAAUUUGUCAACCUCUUCUCUUACAAAAUUUGUAUAAGCCUAACCUGCGCGCGCUAUAAAGUCCUAAUUCUAAUCUUGGGACAAUGUAAAAGGAGUGCAGCGGGAAGAAAUAUCCAUGACAUCACAGACCACUCGGGCACAUGACUUUUUUGGAACUACAAGACAAUAAGAUGUAAAACAUUUCAGAGCUAUGUGGCAGGUAUUGCACAGAGGGGAAACAAAAGCACAAGGCUCUCUAAGCAAACAAUAACAGAGAAGAAUCGUCGUAUACACAAUUGUUUUCUACCAAUAGCGAAUGACAUAGCAGACAACUAGAAGAGAGUAAUGAUUCUCAAGAUAUAGCUUAUUUACUUAUCCCUUAAGAUUAUUCACAAGAGCAUUCGAUUUUUGUUAGAAACGCUAUAUGGAGAUUACAAUAAUCAUGACAUUAUUGUGCGCCAUUGUGCUGAUCGUUAUGUUCCUGACAGGAACUAAUUACCUCUCUUUGAAACGGUGUCUUCCAAGACAGAAAAUCCUUAAUCUCAGUCACUCACAUGGCGUGAUGACAACCCCUAACUUGUCACAAGUCCCUAACCUUGAACAAUUGAUUCUCAAAUAUUGCUUAAAUUAGGUCGAGGUGGAUGACUCCAUUGGAUACCUAGAGAAACUUGUUUUCCUGAAUCUAAGACUGCAAAAUGUGAGUGCUGGAGAUGUGUCAGCAUCAAAGUAUCAAAUAUGGAAAGGCAAAUGCUUUGUGUGUAAUCACAGUCUAGACCAUACUUAUCAUCCUCAGUUCAUAUUUCAGAAAGAACCAGAAGAACCUGGCUCAUCUUGAUUCUUCAUACGAUCCAGAGGGCUGUUAUUUUAAUAAUCAUUACUUACUUAAGCACAUAGAGUUUCCUCAGGAGGACGAUGAAUACUGUUGUGUUUUGCCACCCGAAAGGGUAAGAUUUUACAAGAGAAUAAAAGAUAAAGAAGGCGAUGAUUAUCGACUGCGUCUAUUCAAAAGAAGUGUAGAUUUGGGCACUAUCCAGUUGCGGUGCUAAUCAUCGGGCGUUGAAGAAAAGAUCAUGGUUUGUUUUCUUUUGUGAGUCUUAUUUUCUGUUUCUCUUUGUAUAGAAUAUACUAUAUAUGCAUUUUGUUUGAAUAAUUGAAUCUUCUUAACUCGAUCUUUUCAAUAUUUUGUACAAAGGAUGCAAGGGUUCAAAAACACUAGAUGUAGAUUUCAUAUCUGAGCUCCAUAUUGGUUCUUAUCUGAGCUCCUUCAGCGGAUUAACAAUGUGGUCAGCGAAUAAAGGAGUUUAAUCCAACUUAACAGUUAACAAUCAGACGGGCAGAUCUUCCCGUUGUUUAUUUUUCCGUUUCUUCUUAAUUUUUUGUUUUUGCUCCAAUCUUUCUUUAUUUUUUUCUUCUUAUGUUUUUGCUCUUUCUUUAUCACAUAACCGUAGCUACUUUCUGGUUAAAUUCUAUUUUUCUUAUUUCUUAAAAAUAAAUUAAAAGCUACUUAUUAUUAGGGUUUAGUAAUAUUCAUCUUUACUUAUGUUGAUGCACAAAACCGGAAGGUCUUGGAACAACGUAAAUCCGACCGUGAAUCAUGCAAACGCCCAAGAACACAAAGAUGUAUCGUGGUUCACCCCAAUGUUUGGGCUACGUCCACACUGAUGUUGAUUGUAUUCCUCUGUAAUUGUAUGUAUGGAUUACAAAGUGUUGUUGUGUUUGUGAGGGUAUUGCCCUCUGUUGGGUUCACAGAGGAAGAGAGUUGAGAGAGUUUCUAUGUAUGUAGGAGGGUUGCUCUGAAUAUGAGAGUCUCUGUUUGGGGAUGUGAGGCCUCAGGAUUGUGAGGGUGAGGAGGCCCUUUUAUAGACUAAGGGCUCCUCCCCUUUUACAUAAAUCAUAGGCUCAAUGUCUGGAAGCCCAAGUAACGAGGCCCAAUAUAAUAUGGUACCAACAGUAGUCCCCUAAGUCUUCAGUCAAGAGAGUCUUUUGGCUGGAGACUUCAAAUCCAAUUCAUGUACGGGCCGAAGUGGCUAGAUGUCUUGAACCAGUACUCAACCCAAGGCAAUGCUCAACAUAAAGCAAUACUCGGCUAGAGGUAUCACACGUUACGAGACUACUCGGUUGGAGGCGAUGCUCGUUGCGAGGCUGCUCGGCUAGAGGCUAUGCUCGCGGCAAGGCGUUUGCUCGGCUGGAGGCGAUGCUCGUUGCGAGGCGGCUCGGCUAAAGGCUAUGCUCGCUACGAAGUGGCUCGGCUCGUGGUAUUCCUCAUUGCAAGUAUCUACUUUAUGUCGACAUGCACUCAGUAUGAGUUGAUUCUCAACAUGACUCGAGUCCGCUUGUCGGGUUCGCAUAUUGGGUCUAUAUGUAGGAUCCGCAGAUCGGGUCCGCAAGUCGGGUCUUUGAGUUGGGGCCAUACGUAGGGUCAUCGAGUUGGGGCUAUCUGUAGGGUAAUCGAGUUAGGUCCAGGCACAUAGGUGUCCCAAUAAGCAAAUGUCAGAGCAAGUGGGUGUCCGGUCAGACAAGAGAUCACCAUGAGCACGUGGCUCAUCAAUCUAUAAGUUGGUAGACUUCUUUAAUCAGCAACAAUGUUGAUCAGUGGAUCUAGUUGCUUAAUAAUUUCUGACAAUAAAUGACAGUAUAAGUAUGACCGUAUAAUAAGUAAAUCAAAUUGACAAAGUUUGUCAAGGCAAAAUAUUGCAUUAUGUGCCUUCUGUGAAUAAAUGAUUUAUUCAGUUUGUGUGAUAAAUCAUAUGUUGUAUAAAUCAACAAUAUAUUAAGCAUAUAAUAUAUAUAUACCAACGGUAAUUUUUUAAAGUGGCAGGUAACAUAGGGAUAUUAAAGGAGAGCAUCUUAUCUUUUUAAGGGGUUGGUGGCUUUCUUUCAGGCAGAUGGCAGACAGUAAUUAUAGGAUUAAUAAUAGAAUGAUGGCAGAUGGCAGACGGAAUAAAAACUUAUCUUUAGACAAUGGAGUGGGCAUCUUCUUUGGUGGUCGACAAAAGUCAUCGGUCAUGAUAAAGUUCUUAUCUUCUCUGUUCGUCCAUCAUUGCUCUAGCAGUGGAACUGUGGCCAACAUCUUUGAAAUCAUUACUUGUGUCCUUUCCAAACCUCUCUCAUUCUCGUCGCUUCUUUUCGCCAGCGCUCUGUAAAGAAACAAGGCUCCCAGCACGGCGGUGAAGAUCCAUCCGAGCAAGUGCUGAUCCGCCAUUACAGGUGAAGGCUGCUUCCAUUUCAUGGAGGUUUGGUUUGCUUCCAUGGCCGCUUCAGACUCUUCUUUUUCUGCGGUGUUCUAUGGAUAACAUCAAAGUUGAAUGAAUGGAUACAUGUGGGCUUUUGAUUACUUGAUGAGUUUUUUUUUUUCUGAUAGAAUAAAAAAAAAACAAGCAGCCAACUUCCACCAAUCCCCUCGCUUAGCAACAGGUGCAUAUGUUAGUGGCAGAGUCGGAAAGAGUGACAAUUCUGGUGGCGGACUCGAAUCGGCGCUCCCGACGAAUAUCAUCCUCGAUUUCUUGCUGGGCCCUCCGACGCUGGUUGAAUUUCUCGGCGUUGGCGUUGUUCCACAACGCGAAUCGAACCUCCGUUGGCGGGUGGUUCUGAGCCGCGUUGUGGGUGGGGCUCAAGUUCAAUGGUGGCGUAAAAAUUAGACAAGAAAUGGGCAAAUUCAGCGCCAUUUCUUGCUGGGUUCCUCAAAUUGAAGCCGAAAGCUUCAAACUUUUAGCAGAUAUGAGUCCUUUUGCUGGGUUCUGAAUGCAUAUCAGUUAAACGACGUCGCAGCAGCUGACAGUAUAGGCCUUUCAAAGUGAGAGUUUUGCAGGGAAGAAUUGAGAGAGAGAAAGAGGUGGCUCCGUGGGUUUUCUGGGAAAGCUUUGGGUUCUUGGGUUUCUGCAGAUUCACGGUGGAGGUUGUCAAGUUUUCACAGUGGUGAGAUGGAAAAAUGAAAGAGAACUGACAUAGCUUUUCGUGUCGUUUCCCACAGACGGAGCCAAAUGUUGAUGCACAAAACCGGAAGGUCUUGGAACAACGUAAAUCCGAUCGUGAAUCAUGCAAACGCCCAAGAACACAAAGAUGUAUCAUGGUUCACCCUAAUGUUUGGGAUACGUUCACACUGAUCUUGAUUGUAUUCCUUUGUAACUGUAUGUAUGGAUUACAAAGUGUUGUUGUGUUUGUGAGGGUAUUGCCCUCUGUUGGGUUCACAGAGGAAGAAAGUUGAGAGAGUUUAUGUGUUUGUAGAAGGGUUGCUCUGAAUAUGAGACUCUCUGUUUGGGGACGUGAGGCCUCAAGAUUGUGAGGGUGAGGAUACCCUUUUAUAGACUAAGGGCUCAUCCCCUUUUACAUAAAUCACGGGCUCAAUGUCUGGAAGCCCAAGUAACGAGGCUCAUAUAAUAUGGUACCAACAACUUAUAAGUGAAAGAUGUCUUAUAUUCGAUUCUCAUCACUUAGCCCUCUCGCUUCUUAAUGUAGAUAAUAUCGUAUAUUCAAAACAAACAAAAAAGUAAAUUAAAACACUAAAAUUAAAUAAUAAAAAAAUAAAUAGAAACCCAACCCUCGUCAACUUCCUCACCCCGGUGUGAGAUUUGUCCAAAUGUUAGAUAAUUUGGGUUGGGUGAGUUGGGUUGGGGUCGCUUCUCAUCUAUUCAUUCACCCUUCACAUCUAUGCAUCCACCCCAAUUUAGAUGAUUUGGGAUCUUGGAUUAGCAAUAUUUUUCAAAUAACAGAGAGAGAGAGAGAGAGAGAGAGAGAGAGAGAGAGAGAGAGAGAGAGAGAGAGAGAGAGAGAGAGAGAGAGAGAGAGCGAGAGAGAAUGGGAUGGUUAGAUUUUAGAAUUGCUAUGACAUAAACAUUAAUAAUGAUAAAAAUUAAUUAGAGUUAUGUGAGAGGACAUAUGUCAAGCUGAAUUUAUGUUGGUAGAAUACACUAGGGGUUAAGUUUGGGCAAUUUUGCUCACCACCAUUUUAUUUAUCAUUGUUAAAUAAGUUUAAAUUUUGAAAUUUGUAUCUAUCCAUAAUAGAAUAUCAGGUACACAUAACAAACAUACGAACAAACAUAUUAUAAAUUACGAAUAUUAUUUGAUUAACGAAAAAACAAAGAAAUAGGAUUGCCAAGAUGGCUACACUUAAAGACUACAUUUUAAUCAACUUAUUAUCAUACUAAAUUAUAAGUUAUAUGUAUAGAGAACAAAACCUAAGAAACCCUAAUUUGAAUGAGCUAAGCCCAAAUCUUAAAUUAACAAGCAAACCCAAAUAAUUAAGUAACUAAUUUUCCAACACCCCCGUCAAACUCAUGGUGGUACACGACAUGAGUUUACCAACAAGAAAAUGUCAAUGUAGGCUUCACUAGGUGGACAAGCAGGCAAACAAGCUUUGCUAGGCUGGACUUGACUUGACUUGUGAAUGGGCAAACUGAUUAUGUUUCAGAAAUGCAUGAGGGUAUGGAAAGAAAGCAUAUGAGUGCUCCUCAUCACUAAACAAACGAGAUUUUCAUAUCCCAAUUGCAGCAAUGGACGGACAAAAAGAAUACUAUCACUCAAGUGAUCACAAGUCCAAACAGUCGCAAAAUUCCCAUACAGGCCAACAACUCGUGUGGGCCUCAAAGACUUCAAACAAAAUCAAACAGCCCAUCUCUUUUUGCCCUUUCCCCGUGUGGGCCGAAAUCUCAACUAAAUUCGUGGGCCUCAAACAUACCGCCACUUUUUCUCCUUUUUCUUUUCCUUUUUCCCUCUUUUUCUUUUUCUUUUUUACAGAUCUCUAUAAUUGUUGCCCCAACACGACAAUUUUGUUAAUUCUUAUUAAUGAAGAGGAUUUUUCAAUCUUUCUUUGUUUCGUGCAGAUUGAAUUUGCCUGUGUCUGAACCGAAUCAUUUCUUUUUUAAACAACUGGUGUCGGGGGAGGGGGCCUCUGCAGGCUUUUAUCAACUUUGAGUUACAAGUCCAUUGAAAAUUAAUAAUUGAUUUGUCUCUUUAAGGAAGAACGGCCAUAGAAAAUUAAUAACUGAAUUAUCUUUUAAUUUAAUUAUUAUAAUAACUGAUUUGUCUUUUUUUAUUUUUUUUAAAUGAUAUUGCAAGAGUAGAAUUUGAGCUAAGUCACACGUCAUAAUUUCACACCGAACGAAAAUCGAAUCUAAAACCUUCUUUUUUUAUAAGUGGAGAAAUUUAUGAUUGAAUCUUUAGAUUUUGCAUUAUAGUCGCUCUAUAGUGACUCUUUUGUGACUAUAAAAAAUGAUUACUCAAUUUUCGUGGAAAACGCGAAUUAUACACGUACGUACCUUGAGUACUUUUUGGCAAAGCCAUAUAUAAUUGUCACCCUCAUUUACCCAAAAAAUAAAGAAAAACAAAAGAAAAGAGAAAACAAAAGACUAGCCCUUCUUCUUGAGCUUCUCUGGUAGCAUGAUCAUCUCCCACAUCCUCUUCUUCAUCAACUCUUAAGACCGACGCCCAUUCAGAUCCUUGGAAGUUUGAGCAUGGUGGAGAGGAACUAUAGUUAUCAACUUGAGUUUGCGAGUUAGCGAAAUUCGAUUUGUGAAAUCGUCCAUUUCAAAGUGUCUUUUUGAAGAAACUAGUUGGGACUUUCAUCCAACAGCUUAUCGGCUGAAAGAAAACUCGCAGCUUUCGGCAUCUUACAAUACACAACUCUGGUGUGUGCGAGGUACCUUCAAGCUCCCCUCUUGUGAAAACAUACAUCUGCUUGUAUUAUUAGCUUUCAAUUGAAAUCUUCAUGGCCGAUGAAUCAAUGCAUUGGCUUUGGCUCCUCUUGCUUUCUUAUCUUUAUUUUUCUUUUUAAUAUUGUCCUAUGAAAUUUGUUUUGAGUCCCUAACUCACACUUAAAGCACCGCCGUUACACUGAAAAUUUUCUCUAAGCUAGUGGGUCAUUCUAUUUUUUUUAUGAAAAAAAAUCAUAAACUUAUCCAAUAAACUCCACAUAUCAUCCCUUAUUGACAUAGUUAGAUUCAAGUGCUACAUUUUAUAAUUACACAUUAGUUGGUUUUUAGUUUUUUAUUCAAGUUCUUUGAAUUUUGAUUAAACGCUUUAACUUUACAUGUGUUUUUUUCUUAAUUUUAACUCAAUAUGUUAUAUAAAUUUAAAGAAUAUAAAUAUGAGUCUCUAAAUUCAUGGAAAUUGUUUUGCAAGACUUUAAUUAUUUUUUUUUCAGAAACGUGAACUAAAUCCAUUCAUGAAAAAAGAUCCAGUCCUUUUCUUUUUUUUCUUCUCAAAAUAAAUAUGAGUCAUUAUUUUAAUAGUUAAUUUAUUAAAAAUUGAUAAAAUAUAUUUUUGUAUAAAGUUUUAAUAUGAAUUUCUUUUAGGGUUGUCAUUAGCUUUUUACGUACCAACGCCUUCAAACUUAAAGCCACAGCCCACUCCCAGUCCAAAUCCAUAAACCCAGCCACUUUAAUUGUUUUCAGAAGAGUGGCAGUUUCGUAAAUAAAGUGAAAUGCAGCAAAAGUCACUGUAGCUUAUGAAUAAUGCUAAGGAAAUUUUAUUUGAACACAUCUAACCUCUUUCUAUACCAAACUUACUCUCUUCACCCAUAUUGUUUUUUAUUAAAGAAUUAAUAUCUCUUUAAACCCAAAUUUAUUACCUAAACUACCCUUUCAAACCCAAUUCAAAAUGUAAAUUAUCUUUUCACCAAUUUUCUUUAUAAAAUAACAUCUCUAAUUGAAUGUUGUUUUUUCUUCAAAGAGGCAUCCUUUGCCCCUAUAAUUGCAUUUGCCGUAUAGGACUAGCAUUUCCAUGGCUGUUUUUUUUUUCCUUCUGCUACCACAACACAUUCAUGGACUUGGGAUCCAAGAGAUCAUUCCAUAGACUUGAAUUUGCCAAGAGAAUGCUAUGCAACCUUCAGUUCAGUCAUUUUUAAAUCGAGCAUUUUCAUGUACUUUUUAAGAAACUUUGAAGUGACAUAGGGAUGGGUGUUUUGCUGCUAUGUUAAUAAACAAAUAAACAAAUUGGAGCUAUUUUGAAUAAAAAAAUGUGCAAGACAUGCCACCGGCUAGUUCGUGGUUAAGGUUGAGCAAUCUUUAUUUGUACCAAGAACCAAGUUUUAUGUUUUUGCAGUACUAAUAAAAAAUCCUUGCACUGGUGUUUUGGGGCGCAUAUAGACGACAUAGAGAAACAAAUACAAUAUAAUAUAAAAGGUAUGAAAUUUAAUCCAAGGAAGAAGCAAACAAACAAAAUAUCCAUAAAUCGAGUCAUACCUUAGUUGAAGGAUUAAAAACUUCAAAAUCACCAUCCAUCAAUAGAAAAGCUUGUUUUUCUCUAUCAGAACUAUUAGGGUUUUAGUUGGAAUGAACAUAGGAUAAACUAAGAGUGAUGCUAGAGUUUAGUUAUAGUAUGUGGGUCUAUUGAUAAAUUUGAUUUUUAUUAUUAAUUUCAUUUUGUACUUAAUAGUAAUUAUGCAAUAGGGUAAAAUAGACAAUUAAUAUUUAAAAUUUAAGUUGGAUGUAGAAAGAUGUUAGAUGGGUUUAAAUAAAAUUUCCCUAGAGCCAAUUCUUCCCCAAUUUAGACUAUACUAAUAUGAAAAAUUCCAUCUCCAAUCAGACUUCAUUCUUAAUACAAGUUAGCAUACUUACUAGAAACACCAAUUUUUUAUUUAGUAUUAUUAUUUUUUUCUGGGUAAUACUAGAGACAUCAACUUAUUAGUUUUUGCAUCAAUUUUUUUAAAUCCCAAAUUUCGUGGCAAUGUUUCAACGCAUUUUCUGUUCACAUUUUACAACAAAUAAGAAUUUGCAUUGUGACUUGUUAACAAUUAACUGGUGUCUCUUGCACUAUUAUUAUGUUUAUCAUUUCUUACAUACUUCCAAAAUUAGACAUGUAAUAUGAUUUGCAUCUCAGUGUUAAAUCAGAUGUGUUUGGCAGCUGGAGAAUAUAUUCUCAAUUUGCAUUCCAAUUUGUAUAUAAUUACUUUUGUUCAUGCAUGCACUGCAACAGAUGGACACUAUUCAAUAGCUACGAUGAGCACCGAGCAGCAGAAUGCUUCUUCGUCCUCUUACCGGUGCACAUAUGAUGCAUUCUUAAGUUUCAGAGGUGCAGAUACACGCAAGGGUUUUGCAGAUCACCUCUACAGUGCUUUGGAGUUGGCAGGAAUCCACACUUUUAGAGAUGAUGAUGAAAUUGAGGGAGGAGCAAACAUCGAACAGGAGCUACAGACAGCAAUACAAGAGUCACGAGUAUCAGUCAUUGUUUUUUCCACGGACUACGCCUCUUCCACGUGGUGCCUGAAUGAACUUGCUAUCAUCAUGGAACGUACAAAAACAGAUGGACACAAGGUUGUGCCAGUUUUCUAUGAUGUGGAACCAUCAGAUGUUAGGAAACAGACGGGCAGUUUUGCAGACUCAUUUACUAUACAUGAACAGCGCUUCAAGGACAAGAUAGACAAGGUGGAGGAGUGGAGACGAGCUCUUAGAGAAGUAACAGACCUGGGAGGGAUGGUUUUAGGAGAACGGUAAUUUGUCAUUCCCUCCCUAUAUUCAGUCAAGUAGAUCAGAUGCUAGUCUCAAGCUUGUGAAAGUUUUAGCUUUUCUUUUUUAAAUAAAAAAAUUAAAUAAAUAACUUGCUCGUGUUUUUUGUUUUCCUCUGAUAUAUUUUUAUAUCAAUAACAUAUAGGUACGAGUCGCACUUUAUCCAAGAUAUUGUUGAAGCUUUUGGAAAUAAACUGGACUACAUGAACAUGUGGAAUAGGAGAUUAAGAGUUGAUCCCUAUGUAAUUGGAAGAGAUUAUUAUGUGGAAAGCCUGAACACCUGGCUAGAAGAUGGAUCAAAUGAUGUUGGAGUAGCUGUCAUCCAUGGAAUGGGUGGAAUAGGCAAGACCACCAUUGCUAAAAUUGCUUAUAACCAGAACUUCUCUAAAUUUCAAGCUAGCAGCUUUCUAUCAGAUAUUAGGGAAACUUCCAAACAAGCCAAUGGUUUUGUUCACUUGCAGAGGAACCUUCUUUCCGAUAUCCAAAAGAGGAAAGUGAACAAUAUAUACAGCCAUGAUGAAGGUAUAGUAAAGAUCAAACGGGCUGUACGUUGCAAAAGAGUUCUUAUUGUUCUCGAUGAUGUUGAGAACUUGGAACAGUUCAAUGUGAUUCUUGGAAUGCGAGACUGGCUCCAUCCUGGAAGUAAAAUUAUCAUAACAACUAGACAUGAACAUUUGUUAAGGGCUGAAGUUUGUGUAAGGUUUAAGGUUGAAGGAUUACCUGAGCAUCAAUCACUUAAGCUUUUCAGUUGGCAUGCCUUUGGACAAACCCAUCCUCAAGAAGGUUACAUGGAGCUUUCAAGACCUGUAGUAGAACAUUGUGGAGGGGUUCCAUUAGCUCUUCAAGUUCUGGGAUCUUCUCUAUUUGGAAAAACAGUAGAUGUAUGGAAAAAUGCAUUUCACAACCUAGACGUGAUUACUGAGGGAAAAAUUCAAAAGAUUCUUGGCAUAAGUUUUCAUUCUUUACAAGAUCAUGAUAAACGUUUAUUCCUCCACAUAGCCUGUUUCUUCGUAGGGAAGGACAAGGAUUUUACAACUACAAUCCUUGACGAAUGUGAUUUUGCCACAGAGGUUGGACUUCAACAUCUGGUUGAUAGAUACCUUGUGGAAAUUAAUGUCCACAACAAGUUAAUCGUGCAUCAAUUACUUCAAGACAUGGGAAGGGCAAUAAUUCAUGAAGAAUCAUCUGAGGACCCUGGAAAGCGCACUAGACUGUGGCAUAAAGAUGCAUUUAACGUUUUGACAAAAUUAACGGUAAGAAACAUGAAUUUUAUGUGUACAUAUUUGCAAUGGUGUUCUGCAUGGUAACUUAUCCAAUGUUCUUAUUUGUUAGCAGGGUACGAGAACUAUCAAGGGCUUCAUGCUCCACUUUCUCCCAACAGAUUCAUCUCCGGUAAAUGAGGUAGGUUUCGAAACAAAGGCAUUCACAGAGAUGCUCAAUCUUGAACUACUUCUGCUUGAUAAUGUAAAGUUGAGUGGAAGCUAUGAAGAUUUUCCAAAAAAAUUAAUAUGGUUGUCUUGGAGAGGAUUGUCUUUAAAAUCAAUACCGGCCAAUUUUUGUUUGGAAAAUCUAGUUGCUCUAGACUUACGGAAGAGCAGUCUGCAACGUGUUUGGAAAGGAACCAGGGUAUGUUCUAAUCUCUCUCGCUCUCUCUCUCUCUCUCUCUCUCUCUCUCUCUCUCUCUCUCUUUCACUCAAUACACACAAAUAAAAAUAAAUUUCAGUGAAAUUAGACUCUGUAUUCAUAGCAACUAAUGACUUCUCUUUGAUACAGUUUCUUACAAGAUUGAAAAUUCUUAAUCUCAGUCAUUCACAUGGCCUUUGGACAACAUCUGACUUGUCCGGACUCCCUAACCUUGAGAAACUAAUUCUUAAGGAUUGCAUUAAUUUGGUUGAGGUUGAUGAAUCCAUUGGAAACUUGGGGAAACUUGUUUUCUUGAAUCUAAAAGACUGCAAAAGUCUUAUGAAGCUUCCAAAAAGAAUGAGCAUGAUGAGGUCUCUUGAGGAACUUAUUCUUACCGGUUGCUCAAAGCUUGUGCUUCAUGAUAGUGCCAUGGUUAUUUAUAUUCACACUACAUCAAGGGAUAUGAAUAAACUUAGACUGUUGUCAACUAUAUCAUGGACACCAAUCAGGUUUUGGUGGAUGUGGGCAUGGCCAAGAAAGACUCUUCAAUCAACCAGUUUCUCACUGGCAAGUUUACCACGUUGUUUGGGAAGCUUAAGUCUGUCUUACUGCAACGUGUCAGAGGUUCCCAAUGAUUUAUGUACACUAUCUUCCUUGAAAUAUUUGAAUCUAAUUGGUAACUCAAUUUUGUGCCUACCACAAAACAUGAAGAGUCUUAUUAUGCUCGAGACUCUUUUGUUAGAUAAAUCCAUAAACCUUGAAAUGCUUCCAGAGCUGCCCCCAAGGUUGAAGAGGUUGGAAACAAAAUAUUGUACAUCAUUGAAAAGAUUAACAAAUUUACCAUUGUUCAGAUCAUUAGAAUCACUGUUUUGGGGUUGCGAGCAAUUAGUUGAAAUUGAAAGCUUGUUGAAUAUAAAACCGUCGAGAAGCGCUGAUAUAGAAAUGAGAAGAUAUAUGGGCCCGUUCAAUUUGAAAUCCAUAACAAGCACUGAUGUUGAAAUGAUCAACUACUUGACCAGUACAACUAGGAAGGUUCCUGUCCAGGUCUUUCUCUCUGUCUCCUCUCUCAUGUAUAGUUGUUCUAAUUAUUAUAUCUAUGAACUAGUUGGGUCUAACUGUUUGAAUAAUUAAAUUUGAAUUGUGCAAUCUUGAUGAAGCAGGGAGUCUAUGAAUGUGGCGUAUAUAGCAUUUUCCUUCCUGGAAGCAAGAUUCCAGAUGGAUUUGGCUUCACAACAAUAUAUGGAUCAGCGCUGUCGGCUAUUGCAUCUUCACAUCCUAAUCUCAAAAUCCAAGCCUUGAAUGUAUGUGUUUUAUAUGCAAUAGAACCGGGCUUGGCAAUUGAUGACUAUCUUGUUAGUGCUCAGCAUUUGAUUAAAGUCAGUAAUCAGACCAAGGGUCUUAUGUGGACCUAUUCCCCAGUCACAGUAGGUUUUCCAACUGAGAAGGAAGAUAUGUUAUGGCUAAGCCAUUUUCAAAUUGGGAACAAUGAAUUGGAGUAUGGGGACCAAAUACGUGUUUCGGUGGAGAUGCAUGAUUUUUGGAUAAAGGAGUUCGGAAUCCAGCUUGUGUACGAGCAGGAAAGACCUCCUUCUAGCCAGAAUAAUGUUGUUGCUGGAGAUGUGUCAAUGUCAGCAUCAGAGUACCAAAUGUGGACAGGAAAAUACUUUAAUCAUAGGCACCGUACUCAUCAAACUCAAUUCCGAAAGAGACAGGAGAAUCCAGCACAUAUUGAAUUUUCGUUUGAGCCAAAGCAUCAGCUUCAUACUUAUUCAAGGCCCAAAGACCAUUGAAAAUAUUUUGAAACUUAGAGCAUGUCCAGCAGAUUCCCCAUCUACUUCUACUCACCUAUUUUGGAGAAAAUGAAGAGAAACCUCCCUCCUUAGUUCUUUUUCCAACAUCAUUCGUUCAUGGUUGGAAGGAAAGAUCAGCAUCAAUUAUCUUGGUGAGUGUCGUCUUUUUGUUCUUUCUUGUUAUAUCUUUCUGAAUAUAAACUCAUGGCUUUGUUGGAUUUGUUGCUCUUUGUUUAUUGCUUUGAUUUGUUAAUUGAAUGAAUAUAUUAAACAAAAGGAGGGGAAAGGCCUACGAACUCGUGUAGUUGAUGCAUGUAGUACUCAGUACUACUCUUUCAGACAAUAAUCCUAACUUUAAAUCCCACUUAACGUCAUAUAAUUUGGUGUCUGUAGUAUGUUUGGUGGUCUAGAUCACUCAUUUGAGAUAUACAUGUGAACCAAAAAGCUGUUUAACUUGAAAAAAGGGGAAAUUUAGCAUGCCCCUGAACUUUUAAAAUGUUGGGAGCAGCUCAGGUUUGAGUCCCAGCAAAGGCAUGCUUUUCUUAAUUUUUGCACGACUUACAGCUGGUGCGAGGGACCUCUGCGCGUUAACUAUGUGUCAGUCUGGGUCCAUUUAUUCCCUAGCCAUCAGUGUGCUGUCUAACUUUGUCUUUUAUAUUCACAAAAAAGCAUUGGCAGUCUUGACAGUGUCGAAACUGUUUACCGUGUUCAAACCGUGUGCAGGGCGUGUCAGCAUGUCAGAGUGUCUGACACUUUGAGGUUUGGGAGUGUCCGUGCAACCUAGGCUUCAAGAACGAGAUGGACAAGGUGGAGAAGUGGAGAAGAGCGCUUACUGAUGUUGCAAAUCUGGGAGGGAUGGUUCUAGAAGAUCGGUAAUUUCGUAAAACAUUUUCUUUAAUUUGAAAUUAUUAUCUAUAUAUGACCUUUUAUAACUUGUUUAUUAGGCACAUUAUUGUUAGCUUAUAGGGUAUGAGUGGCAGUUUAUCCAAGAUAUUGUUCAAGAGGUUGGAAGUAAGCUGGAUCGCGUGGCAGUAAAUGUUGCUCCCUAUGAUGUUGGAAUCGAUAUUUGUGUGCACGGAAUCAACAGAUGGUUAGAAGAUGAUUCGGGUGAUGCUGGUGCAGCGGUUAUCUAUGGGAUGGGUGGAAUUGGCAAAACCACCAUUGCCAAAGCUGCUAAUAAGACGAACCUUGCAAAAUUUUAAGGAAACGGCAGCUUUCUUGCAGAUAUUGGCUUGCAAAUAAAUCUUCUUUCCGAUAUCCAAAGGGUGAAAGUAAAGAAAAUAAGCAAACAUGAAGGACUAAUCAAGAUUAUGCAUGCUGUAGGUUGCAAUAGAGUUCUUAUAGUUCUUGAUGAUGUGAACCAUUUGGACCAAUUCAAUGCAAAUCUUGGAAUGUAUUGAAUUUUGAAUGUCUAUAUUUUGUAUUAUGUAAAACUAAGUACAAUGAAAGCUCAUAUAAAUGAGCGGAAGAAAGGAAAAGAAAACAGAAGCCGAAAGAAAGGGAGGACAAUCAGAAAACAUGGAGCAGAAAACAUGGAAAAGUAAAGGUGAGGAAAACAUGGAAAAGUAAGAAAACAUGGAGCAGAAAACAUGGAAAAGUAAAGGUGAGGAAAACAUGGAAAAGUAAAGGUCACCAUACACCCAUGCUUUCUUCCAAUACUCCCCCUCAAGCUGGAUCAAAGGGAUUAAUUGAUCCAAGCUUGAACAAAAGACGUUGAAAAUCAGCAGAGGGUAAUCCUUUUGUGAAAAUAUCCGCAAGUUGAUCAUGACUGCGCGUGUAGUGAGUGUCGAUCACCUUGGACUGAACUUGAUUUCUGACGUAGUGACAAUCAACUUCAAUAUGUUUAGUUCGCUCAUGGAAUACAGGAUUCGAUGCAAUGUGCAUCGCGGCCUGAUUAUCACAGUGUAGGGACAUGGGUUGUUGAUGAGGAAAACCUAAAGUCAACAGAAGGAUUUUGAGCCAAAUAAGUUCACAAGCAGUGGACGCCAUAGCACGAUACUCUGCCUCUGCACUAGAGCGUGCAACAACACUUUGUUUCUUGCUUUUCCAGGUAACUAGGUUGCCUCCCACAAACGUACAAAACCCAGUGGUAGACUUGUGAUCGAGAGAAUUGCCUGCCCAGUCAGCAUCGGUAUAGCCUGAGAUCUGAGUGUGACUAUUGUUGCGCAUAAGAAUUCCUCUACCAAUGGAACCCUUAAGAUAACGUAGCACACGAUGAACAAUCUUCAAAUGAUCCAUGCUUGGAGAGUGCAUAAACUGGCUAACAAUGCUGACAGCAUAUGAUAUAUCAGGACGUGUGAUAGUCAGAUAAAUGAGUUUGCCAACCAUUCUUUGAUAGUAACUUAAAUUGGGAACUGGAUCACCGUGAGUUUUUAGCUUCAAGUUGCUAUCCAAGGGGGUACGAGCAGGCUUGCAAUCUGUCAUUUUUGCUUCGUGAAGAAGAUCCAUGACAUACUUGCGUUGGUUGAGGAAGAAACCCUUGUGAGAGUGUGCCAUCUCGAUGCCCAGAAAGUAUUUGAGAGUGCCAAGAUCCUUGAUAGCAAACUUGUUGUUGAGAUACUGUUUAAGAGCAUUAAUCUCUGACAUAUUAUCACCUGUCACAAUUAGAUCAUCAACAUAAAUGAGCACAACUAGUUUACCCACUAAGCUGGAACGAACAAAUAGGGAAGAAUCCGCAAUACUUCGACAAAAACCAACCCUUUCCAGAACAUGACUGAGUUUGGCAUACCAUGCACGUGGACUUUGCUUGAGACCAUAAAUGGAUUUAUGGAGUUUGCACACCAUUUCUGGAUUGUUUGAUUGAGGAUGACCUGGGGGUAGCUUCAUGUAAACCUCUUCUUCAAGUUCACCAUGCAGGAAAGCAUUUUUAACAUCCAUUUGAAAGAGAGGCCAUGCAUUGUUAAUUGCAACCGACAACAAUACUCUAACAGUGUUCAUUUUUGCCACCGGAGCAAAUGUCUCUUUAUAAUCGACGCCAUAGGUUUGUGUAAAACCUCGAGCAACCAAGCGAGCCUUAUUCCUUUCGAUUGUGCCAUCUGAAUGAAACUUAGUUUUGUACACCCAACGACUCCCCACUGCCUUCUUUCCUUUUGGAAGUUUCACUAUAGUCCAUGUGUUAUUUUCAUGGAGGGCUUGAAGCUCCUCUGCCAUAGCAUUUCUCCACUCACUGUGAAGAUUGGCUUCUUGAAAACUUUGAGGUUCUCGAGCUUCAUUAAUGGCACUUAGGAAUGUAGCAAAAGAAGAUGAGACUUUGCUAUAAUCAAUAACAUCAGUCACGGCAUACCUGGCAGUGUAGGUCACAUAAUCAUGCAACUUGGAUGGAAGUUUCCUCUCUCGUGCAGGAUUGCGACGAACUAUAGGAGAUUGAACUACAGGUAUUUGAACAACAUCAUGGUUGGAAGGAUCACUGGAGGGUGCAGUGUGAAUCUCUGAUGAGGAAGGGUUUUCAUCUUCAAGAUGUUCCACCGAGUGAAGGUUAACAUCAUCCGGCACAUGAUCACUAGGAGUGCAUGUUGCAUCUUCUCCGUUUGGAUAUGGAAAAGGAAAUAAGUCCAUCAAAUGCUCCCCCUGUCUAGAGUAAUCCAGUGAUUGUGAGAAGUAAGGAACAUGUUCUUCAAAUUUAACAUCCCUUGAAACAACCAUUUUUCUAGUUGUUGAAUUAUAGCACUUGUAACCUUUUUGGGUAGAUGAAUAACCUAGAAAGACACAUUUGGCAGCCCUUGGGUCUAGCUUGUCACGAUUUUGAGUUUGAAUGUGAACAAAGCAUGUACACCCAAAGACUCUCAAAUGGGAAAAGUUGAUCUUUCUAUUUUUCAAGACCUCAUAAGGUGAUUUAAAAUUCAACACUUUACUAGGCAAUCUAUUGAUGAGAUAUGCCGCAGUAAGGACUCCUUGAGACCAAAACUUUUUAGGCACAUUCAUGUGAAACAUAAGAGCUCUAGUCUUCUUAAGUAGAUCUCUAUUCUUCCUCUCGGCCACCCCAUUUUGUUGAGGUGUUCCAACACAGCUUGUUUGGUGUAAUAUACCAUGCGUGCUCAAGUAGUGUGACAUGUUAUGAGACAUAUAUUCUGUGCCGUUAUCUGAUCGUAAAAUAUGAAUUUUUGAAGCAAAUUGGGUGGCCACAAGUCUAUGAAAAUCUUGAAAAACUUCCAUCACUUCACUUUUAAAUUUCAAAAGAUACAACCAAGUAAUCCUUGUGAAAUCAUCCACAAAAGUUACAAAAUAUUUGUAUCCAUCAAAAGACUCUAUAGUUGGUCCCCAAACAUCAGAAUGCACAAUUUCAAAAGGGUUACUAGCCCUAGACAAAGAGGAAGUAAAUGGUAAUCUAGUAAACUUAGAAAAAUGACAAACAUCACAAGGACUUGUAACUUUGCACAUAUUUGGGAACAAGGUGGAUAGAACUUUUUCAGAAGGAUGUGCUAGGCGUUGGUGCCAAAGUUGUUGUUCUUGAGCUAAGCUUGAAGUGACUUGAAAAACCUUGGGAACUUGAAUAUGCUUGGAAAGAUAGUAGAGACCAUUUAAGAAAAAUCCUUCACCAAUCAUCUUCUUGGUGACUACAUCCUGAAAGAUCACAUUUUUGGGAGAGAAAAUGGCAAGACAAUUUAAUGAGUUUGUGAUCUUGCUAACAGAUAAAAGUUGAAAAGGGAAUGAGGGAACAUAAAGAGCCUCAGACUCGACAUCACUUGAGAUCAAAUGUAUUUUUCCUUUUCCCACAACCAUAGCAUUUUUUCCAUUGGCAACUGACACUUGGGAUGGAAUAGAAAAAUUUUCAAAUUUAUGCAAGUUUGUAGAUUUGUUAGUCAUAUGAUCAGUGGCUCCAGAAUCUAUAAUCCAAUAAUCAUGCACAUUACCAAUGUUGAGAACAGUUGAGAAGGAGUGUAAGAUACCUAGGAUGUCCCUUUGUACCACGCCUUCAUUUCCAGCCAGGAAGCCAGCAAACUGUCCUAGUAGUGCAGUUUGAUUGUUGUCACACUGAUUUAGUGGUCCUUCACUAUCUCCAAGACCUUGUUUCUUGUGAAGAAACAUAGCAAACUCGUUGAUCAGUGCAGCUGGAUUAGUGGUGAACUUCAGUGCUCUAUUAGAAGAAGUUGUGGCAACAUGAUUUGCCUUGUAAGAAGGGUUGUACGAGCCUUUCGAGACACCUUUGUUAUCCCUAGGAAACUUUGGUUUUAACUCUGGAUGAAGAAUCCAGCAUCGAUCUCUUGAGUGCCUACCAGCAUCACAAUGGCUACAUUUUAAGCCAGUUUUCUUUCCUUUGUAGCCUCUCUCCUCACCAAGUUUUUGGUUAGAAAAGUAAGCCCUAGCUUCUGGUAUAUUUGCCUUCAUGUCCAUGGUCAUGACUUUCCUUCGAACCUCUUCUCUUUGAAUUGUGGCACACACACUUGAAAAAGAAGGCAGGUCGGGAUUCAUGAGGAUAUGACUUCGAAGAUCUUCGAAUUCAGGACUCAGACUUGCUAGGAGUUGGAAUAUUUUGUCUUCCUCGGCUCUUUUAGUUAGCACAGCAGCGUCGAUGGUGUGUGGUCGAUACACAUUCAGCUCGUUCCAUAUAGUGGUCAGCUUUCCAAGAUGUUGCACAAAUGGCUUUCCUUCCUGUUGCAAACCAGCAAUGUCCUUCUUUAACUGAAACACUCUAGCCGCAUUGUUCUGAUUUCCAUACAUUUCCUUGAGAUUUUUCCAAAGAGUCAUGGAGGAUUCAGCAUAGCUAAAAAUUUCUGCAAUCUUACGAUCCAUGGAAUUGAGUAGCCACGACAUGACCAACUGGUCUUUGCAUAGCCAAGCAUCAUACUCCGGUGAGGUAGUCUCAGGCAUUGGAAUAGCACCAUUAACAUAACUAAGCUUUGAUCGUCCUCCCAGAGCAAGAGAAACUGCUCUCUCCCAUGAAAGAUAGUUAAACUCAUUUAGCAAGACAGAACUAAGACGUUGAUUUGGGUUGAUAUCAAUAUCUGAGUGUGGUGAUGGUGGAGUAGCAUGAAAGCCGUCUCCUUCCAAAUUUACUAAGAUUUCUUCAGCCAUGAUUGAAGGACAAGAAGCUCACAAAUCCCUCAAGAGAACAUCACAGAGACAGGCCGGUUAGGGUCACUGCUCUGAUACCAUAUUGAAUUUUGAAUGUCUAUAUUUUGUAUUAUGUAAAACUAAGUACAAUGAAAGCUCAUAUAAAUGAGCGGAAGAAAGGAAAAGAAAACAGAAGCCGAAAGAAAGGGAGGACAAGCAGAAAACAUGGAGCAGAAAACAUGGAAAAGUAAAGGUGAGGAAAACAUGGAAAAGUAAGGAAACAUGGAGCAGAAAACAUGGAAAAGUAAAGGUGAGGAAAACAUGGAAAAGUAAAGGUCACCAUACACCCAUGCUUUCUUCCAAUAGAAUGCGAUAGUGUUUUCACCCGGGAAGUAAAGUUACCGUAACAACUAGACGUAAAAGGCUCAUGAUAUUUAUCCAGUAUUUGAGAUUAAAGAACUGAGUGAAUAUGAAACACUGGAGCUUUUCAAGCGACAUGCCUUCGGGCAAGCCAAUCCCAUUGAAAGUUACUUGGAGUCAUGAACCUCGACCAAAUUGAAGCAAUCUUUGAGAGUCAAUUGCUAAUGGUUUGGGACUUCUGACAAGUUGGGGGUUGUCAUAAGGCCAUGUGAGUGGCUGAGAUUAACGGUUCAGCCUUGGAAGGGAACCAGGGUAUGUUCUAAUCUCUCUUUCUCUCUCUCUCUCUCUCUCUCUCUCUCUCUCUCUCUCUCUCUCUCUCAAAAUACACACAAUCAAAAAUAAAUUUCAGUGAAAUUAAACUCUGUAUUCAUAGCAACUAAUGACUUCUCUUUGACACAGUUUCUUAGAAGAUUGAAAAUUCUUAAUCUCAGUCAUUCUCAUGGCCUUAGGACAACAUUUGUCCGAACUCCCUAAGACCAUCUCCAACCCUUGGACUAAAAGCUAAAUUUUUUAGUCCGGAAAAUUUAGCUUUUAGCCCAGAAACAACUUUUCUGCUCCAAUCCUUCUGGUCUAAAAUUUUAGCCCGGGAUUAUUAAAGAAUGAAUUUAGGCUAAUUUUUUUCUUAAAUUAACUUCUUUUUUUUUUAAAUAAUUAUGUAGACUAUCGUAAAUUAAUUUUAUAAACAUUUUAAUCUAAAAAUAUUUAAAUUCCGAUAAAUAUUGAAAAAUCACUAAAUUUUUCCACAAAGCAAGCCUUCAUUUUUUUUAAAUUAUUUUAGCCGUUGGAUUUAAAUUUGGGCCAUUAGAUCUUUUUUUUUUUACCAUUAGAUUUGAUUAUAUUCGAUCUCAGCCGUUGGAUUCAAUGUAUUUUAAAAUAACAUUUAAAAAAAAUUAAAUUUGAAUCUGGACCGUUGGAUCAACCAACGGUCCAAUAAUGUCAACCGUCCGAUGAACAAAAGAGUCGUUGGGCUUAUAAUUGCUUCCGACAGCAGCCCUGACAGUGGGUCCCACUCUGUCGGGCGCUGAAGGCUAACGCCCGCGUGGGGCGAGUGGUGUGAGUGACCGGGCCGAAAGUGGGCUGGGAAAGAGAGAGUCAACACGUUUGUAGGCUAUUUCUUGGGGGGAAUUUGGCCCUCAAUUGGCAUUUGGCUUUUAGCCCAAAGAUUUGGCUUGGGUUGGAUUGGAUUUUGGGGGAGGGGAAUUGGGGGGAGAAAUUUGGCAUUUAGCCCAAGGUUGGAGAUAGUCUAAAGGAUUGCAUUAAUUUGAUUGGAAACUUGGGGAAACUUAUUUUCUUGAAUCUAAAAGACUGCAAAAGUCUUAUGAAGCUUCCAAAAAGAAUGAACAUGUUGAGGUCUCUUGAGGAAUUUAUUCUUACUGGUUGCUCAAAGCUUGUUCUUCAUGACAGUGCCACGGUUAUUCAUUUACAUUCUACAUCUAGGGAUAUGAAUAAACUUAGACUGUUAUCAAUUAUAUCAUCGACACGAGAAAAUUUUCCAGAUGACCGGUACAACUGUUGAGCUGGAGUUCCCCUCCAAUUACAUGAUGCCACAUACAGCUGCAUAGAUUAGUUUUGUUUAAUAAAAAAUAAAAAGAAAAAGAAAAAACUUGUAGAAGGUGUAAAGUCACCCUCCCAGCGGCCGAUCCCACCAACCCAACGGCGACUCACUUCCAAUUGACGACGACGAAAAAGAUUUCAGCUUCCUCGAGGAACCCACCGACCACAGCGCCGCACCAUUCAGAUUCGGACAAUUACGACGAUUUCGAGAACUUCUCCGAUGUCGACGAAGACGCUUUCAGGAGAUGAUGGCAGGCUUGCCAGCCCCAAGACUCCUAAGUGGGUUUAUGGCAUUUUCAGUGAUGGGGAUGGGGUGGUGGCCAUUUUCGGUGAUGGGUUGAUGCAAUUUUGGGUUUUUGAUCAAAACCCAUCAAAAUUCACCACCACUUAAUCAAAAAUCCAAAUCAAACCCCAACAAAAACAAUCAAAUUCACAAGUUUUAUCAGAGAAAGAAAAAACAAAAAAAACAUGAACAGAUGAUGGAAAAGGGUGGAAUGGAUGCGGGUGGGGCGUAAUAGAAUGGAAAAGAGAGGAAUCUGUGUUCUUCAUUUAAUUAAUUUAAAUUAUAUUCUUAAAAUAAAUGUUAAUUGUCAUUAUAAAAGAUGAUGUCAACCUAGAUGUCAGAUGUUAAUAGGUGGAACACCGGGUCAGCAAAUGUACCCGUCACGUGGAAAAAUUUCUCCAUGGACACCAAUUAGGUAUUGGUGGAUGUGGGCAUGGCCAGGAAAGACUCUUCAAUCAACGAGUUUCUCUCUGGCAAGUGUACCCCCUUUUUUGGGAAGCUUAAGUUUGUCUUACUGCAACAUGUCAGGUUUCCAAUGAUCUGUGUACACUAUCUUUGUUGAAGCAUUUGAAUCUAAUUGGUAAUCCAAUUUUGUGCCUACCACAAAAAAUGAAGAGUCUUAUUAUGCUUGAGACUCUUUUGUUAGAUAAUUGCACGAACCUCAAAAUUCUUCCAGAGCUCCCACCAAGGUUGAAGAGGUUAGAAGCAAAAUAUUGUACUUCAUUGAAAAGAUUAAGAAAUUUACCAAACUUAUUCAGAUCAUUGGAAUCACUUUUUUGGGGUUGUGAGCAUUUAGUUGAAGUUGAAAGCUUGUUGAAUAUAAAACCGCUGAGAAAUGCUGACAUAGAAAUGACAAGAUAUAUGGGCCUGUGCAGUUUGAAAUCCAUAUCAAGCACUGGUGUCGAAAGAUCUCCAUCUAGCCAAAAUAAUGUUGUUGCUGGAGAUGUGUCAAUGUCAGCAUAAGAGUACCAAAUGUGGACAGGAAAAUACUUUCUCAGUAAUCAUAGGCACCGUACUCAUCAGGCUCAGGUUCAAUGGUUCACAACUUAUUCAAGGCCCAAGGACCAUUGGAAAAUAUUGCGAGAGGAUGUCCAGCAGAUUCCCCAUCUGCUUCUCGUAAUCUGUUUUUGGCGAAAAUGAAGAGAAACAUCCUCAGUUCUUUGUCAACAUCACAUCAGUCAUUUCAUUUAUGGUUGGAAAGAAAGACCAGCAUCAUUUUCCUUGGUGAGUAUCGUCGUUUUUGUUCUUUCUUGUUCUCGUUCUGAGUAUAUACUCAUGGCUUUGUUGGAUUUGUUGCGCUUUUUGCUUAUUGUCAUAAAGAGCAAUCAAGGAAAAAAAACCGGAACAGUCUGCAUGAGUUUGUUGGAAAUUAUAUAUUAUAGUAUAAAAUAUUGUAAUAUAUAAUUUUAAUAAUUGAAUGAAAAAAUAGUGUUAACCAUAUUUCUUAGAAAUGUUAUGUUAUUUAGGUGCAUUCCCUUGUUAAAUAAUGUAUACUUAUAGAUGAAAAGUUACAUCUCCUAACAAGAAGUACUUGGGUUCUAUUUAAACUCAUGAAACCAUUAUCAUUAAAUAUAGAAAAUUAGAGUUAAUUUUUACUCUUGAGAAAUAGGGUUUCCCCACUUUGUUUCUCUCAUGCUUUGUGUGUCAAAUUCCAAGUCGUGUCUUGAGAGUACGGAAUAUAUAAAGUUCGUCAGAGUUCAAAGAUUGAAGUGUUUUGACUUCGGAUUAUAGAUUGUUGAAUCCUGAGAGAUAGACACCUACCGAACUACCAAACUACAAGCACAAGAGUAUGAGCGAUAUUCUAUCUUUAGGACAUUACAUUCAUGAAAGCCUCAAUCUCCAGGUUUAUCAGUUUUUCUAACUUUAUCUUUAGUUGUUUAUAUUAAUCUCAUACAUAAUUGAUGUCGUGAAUUUCUAUGUGAUUAUUAUUAUUAUUAGAAUUCUUGUAUUAUUUUCAUAUUUUCUAAUACUGUUCCAACAGAGUUUGCAUAUGAAGUUUUAAACCCCCUAUAGAGCAAAGCCAACUUGAGCGUAACAGCAGUGGGGCAACAUAUGUUUCUGAAAAUCCUACAGUUAGUUUCCCUCCAAAACUCCUUACAAACGAAUCUUGAGCACCUGCAUUGCCUAAUAAUUGUUUUAGCUACCAUGUUAACAGAAGCAAUAACUGUAAACGGACUAUAACAGUUGAGAAAUAUUUAAGUACCAAAAAGAGUCAGCUAUAUCAGAAAUAAUUAUGCUAGAGUUGAGUCGUUUAACUUCUCAUAUGUUAUGGCUUAGUCCUUUUAUGGCGGACUUUAACUCCGUUUUUCUAUAUUUUCAGAGAAAGUCCGCAAAACUUAAAUCCUAUUGUUCUUUUUUGGCCUUUUUCUAAUAUUUUUCUGCCUUUUUCUACUAUAGUACUACUCCAGACAAUAAUCCUAGUGGCCCAAAAUUAUAUCCUAACUUUAAAUCCCAAUUAAGGUGAUAUAAUUGGUUUUUUAUGUUUAUGCUCACUAGAAACCUCAUUGAUCUACAACGAACAAAUUGGUGCCUGUAGUAUUUGUGAUGUUCUAGAUCACUCAUUUGAGCAAUACAUGUGAACCAAAUGUGGGUAGCAGCUCAGGUUCAUGCUUUCUUAAUUUUUGCACGACUAGCAGCAGCUGGUGAGAAAAAUAUUAGAAAAAUGCCAAAUUAACUUGGGGAUGACCUAACGAGGGACCUGAGAUACUCAAGAACCCGUACCACACUUUUUCAUCUUUUUCUUUUUCUCUCUUUUUCCUUUUUGUUUUAGUCAUAUCUUUUUCUUUGCAUGCGGACCUCAUCGAAAUCAAACAAAAAUAAGAAAAAUUAAACUCAUCAUUAACUUCCAGACGAAACUUUAGACCAAGUGGCGUGAGAUUUGUCCAUGAUUCGGGUGGGGGUAGGUGGGCUGGGGUCAGUUCUCAUUAUUUACUCACACCUACACAUCUGUGCAUCCACCCCAAUUUAGAUGUUUUGGGAUCUUGGACUAGCAAUAUUUUUCAAAUAACAGAGAGGAGAUUGGAGAGAGAUGGGAGAAGGAGCGAGAGAGAAUAGUACGGUUACAUUUUAGAAUUUUUAUGACAUAAAAUACUAAUAAUGAUAAAAGUUAACUAGAGUUAUGUGAGAGGACAUAUAUCAAGCUAAAAGUGUGUGGAUAGCAUACAUCAGGAUAAGUUCGAGGCAUUUUUACUCACUGCUCUCAAGUAAUGGUGAUGGUCACAAUAUUUUUAUUACAGUUUGAUAAGUUUAAUUUUUGAAAUUUAUGUCUUCCACAGCAGAAACAGAUUACAAAUAACAAACAUACGAACAAACGGAUUACAAAUUAUUGAAUAUAUUUGACUAACAAAACAACAAAGAAACAGGAUUGUCGAGAUGACUACACUCAACUACAUACCAACUUAUUAUCCAUCUAAACAAACUACAUUUGUGGGGAGCAAAAUCUAAGAAACCCUAAUUCAAAUAGGAUAAGCCUAAAUCAUAAACUAACCAGCAAAACCAAAUAAUCAAAUAAUUAAUUUUUCAACACUCGUCAAAUUCAAAAGGAUAUAUGACAUGAGUUUGCCAACAAGUAAAUUUUAAUUUAGACAUAAUGAUGUUGAGAGUAUAAAAAGAAGGUAAAUGAGUGCUCACCGUCACUAGACAAAUAAGAUUUUCAUAUUUCAAUUACAGCAAUGAAUAAACAAAAACAACACUUUCACUCGAAGCUCCCAAACAAGCCAAUAACUCGCGUCGGCCUCAAAGACUUCACAAAACACAAACGUGUGGGCCAAAACCUCAACCAAUUUCCAAUUUUUUCUUUUCCGUGUGGACCUCAAACAUACCACCACUUUUUCUUCUUUUUCUUUUUCUAUCUUUUUUCCUUUUCUUUUUCCCCAUCUUUUCCUCACCCUCAUAUACCAAAAAGGAGAAGAAAAGAGAAAGCAAAAGAUUCGUCCUUCUUCUUCAGCUGCUCUGGUAGCAUCUCCCACCUCCUCUUCUUCAUCAACUCUUAAGACCUACGCCUGUUCAGAUCCUUGAAAAUUUGAGCAUGGUGGAGAGGAACUAUAGUUAUCAACUUAAGGUUGUGAGUGAGCAAAAUUUGAUUUGUGAAAUCGUCCAUUUCACAGUGUCUUU